This 253-nucleotide ribosomal RNA is filed under the name uncultured bacterium. RNAcentral describes it as "partial 16S ribosomal RNA". It matches the Rfam family "Bacterial small subunit ribosomal RNA", at positions 524 to 776 of the family's 1533-position model. The record is from RNAcentral.
CACGUAGGGCGCGAGCGUUGUCCGGAAUUAUUGGGCGUAAAGAGCUCGUAGGCGGCCUGUUGCGUCCGCUGUGAAAGCCCGGGGCUUAACCCCGGGUCUGCAGUGGAUACGGGCAGGCUAGAGGUAGGUAGGGGAGAAUGGAAUUCCCGGUGUAGCGGUGAAAUGCGCAGAUAUCGGGAGGAACACCAGUGGCGAAGGCGACUUCCUGGCCUGUUCUUGACGCUGAGGCGCGAAAGCUAGGGGAGCAAACGGG